UGCCCCUUGGCUGAGUUGGUUACAGCGUCCGACUGUUACGUAAGCUCAAUCGGAAGGUCAUGAGUUCGAGCCUCAUAGGGGCAG
Molecule: transfer RNA, 84 nt
Filed under: Ephemerocybe angulata
Lineage: Eukaryota; Fungi; Basidiomycota; Agaricomycetes; Agaricales; Psathyrellaceae
Description: Coprinellus angulatus tRNA-Asn
Source: RNAcentral